CGGGGGGGGGGUUGUUCUUUUGCUCCUUGGGUCCACACUGCGUUUAUGAGCUGUAAUAUUCACCGCAAAGGUCUGCAGCUUCACUACUAAGCCAACGAGACCACAAACCCACCAGGAGGAACGACAAUUCCAGACGCGUGGCUUUAACAGCUGUUAACACUCACCGCGAAGGUCUGUAGCUUCAUUUCUGAGUCAGCGAGACCACGAACCCACCAGAAAGAAGAAACUCCGAACACACCCGAACCUCAGAAGGAACAAAUUCCGGACACGCCGCCUUUAAGAACUGUAACACUCACCACAAGGGUCCGCGGCUUCAUUCUUGAAGUCAGUGAGACCAAGAACCCACUAAUUCCGGACACACUUUGACCAGCAGAGCAGGCAGAAGUAAAGCCACGGUUCACAGAAGUGGCUGCCCCGGCUGGACACAGGCUCAAUCUUGCUGGAAUCUGUCCUCUUACUCCCCUACCCCAGCCCAGUGCCCCACCAGCGUGCUCCACUCAGCAUCCUGAUUUUCCCUGGAAUGUGCCACUUUGCCACCAUUUCCCUUUCAACAGAUGGAAUAUAGCAAGUUCGCUUUCUGUAUCAAUCAUGUCACAAAUCAUUAAGCAUAUCGACAUCAAGCAGAGCCAGCCUGUGUAGUCGCAAAGGGGUCGGGUGUUCUUCCACUGCCGAGCAGGCAGGUGCCACUACCUCGUCCUCAACUGUCAGAACCCUUCCCCAGACCACAGCUUUAACAGCCGAUCUUCAGAAGCCAGAGAAGCCUCCCCCAACGCCAGUGCCCUGGGUCCAAGAGCAGAAUCUCAGUGUUCCUGCAGAAGUCACCAUGGAAGAAUAAUCGUGUUGUGAUUUUGAAAGGAAAUUGAAAUCCCCUCUUUACUGCUUUCUAAAUGAACCUUAUAAUUUUCUCCUGGGAGAAGCAGCAGCCCCGGGAGAGGCUUAACUAGCAGAGCACUGAGGCCCACCGACAGCCAUGUGCAUGAGCUUGGAAGCACAUCUCCCCAACCCACCCCAGUCAAGCCUGCAGAUGAGACCUCAGCUGCAGCUGACAACUCGGCU
Molecule: long non-coding RNA, 1056 nt
Filed under: Homo sapiens (human)
Lineage: Eukaryota; Metazoa; Chordata; Mammalia; Primates; Hominidae
Description: HSALNT0182175
Source: RNAcentral